UUCAGGCCUAACACAUGCAAGUCAAGGAAAAGCUUCGCUUCGGUGGAGUGGAAACUGGCGCACGGGUGAGUAACGCGUAUGCAAUCUGCCCUUAGUCCGGGGAUAACAUUUCUAACGAGGUGCUAAUACCCGAUGAUGCAGCGGCACCGCAUGGUGACAGUUGUUAAAGUUUCGGUGACUAAGGAUGAGCAUGCGUCCCAUUAGGUAGUUGGUAGGGUAACGGCCUACCAAGCCAUCGAUGGGUAGCUGGUCUGAGAGGAUGAUCAGCCACACUGGGACUGAGACACGGCCCAGACUCCUACGGGAGGCAGCAGUGAGGAAUAUUGCGCAAUGGGCGAAAGCCUGACGCAGCAACGCCGCGUGCGGGAUGAAGGCCUUAUGGGUCGUAAACCGCUGUAGCAGGGGAAAAAUAUCCCGUUCGACGGGAUUGAUGGUACCCUGAAAGUAAGCCUCGGCUAACUACGUGCCAGCAGCCGCGGUAAUACGUAGGAGGCAAGCGUUGUCCGGAUUUACUGGGUGUAAAGGGUCCGCAGGCGGACUCUUAAGUCGGUGGUGAAAUCCUGCAGCUUAACUGUAGAACUGCCUCCGAUACUGAGAGUCUUGAAUUCGGGAGAGGGUAACGGAAUUCCAGGUGUAGCGGUGAAAUGCUUAGAUAUCUGGAAGAACACCGGUUGCGAAGGCUGUUGCCUGGCCCGAAAUUGACGCUCAUGGACGAAAGCGUGGGGAUCAAACAGGAUUAGAUACCCUGGUAGUCCACGCCGUAAACGAUGGAUACUCGGUGUUGGCCCGUAUGGGUCGGUGCCUAAGCUAACGCAGUAAGUAUCCCACCUGGGAAGUACGAUCGCAAGGUUGAAACUCAAAGGAAUUGACGGGGGCCCGCACAAGCAGUGGAGCAUGUGGUUUAAUUCGAUGCAACGCGAAGAACCUCACCUGGGCUCGAAAGACUGGAUUAUCCUUCGGUGAAAGUCGGAGGCGCUUCGGCAAUCCAGACAGGUGCUGCAUGGCUGUCGUCA
Molecule: ribosomal RNA, 1013 nt
Filed under: uncultured bacterium
Lineage: Bacteria
Description: bacterial SSU rRNA
Rfam family: Bacterial small subunit ribosomal RNA
Source: RNAcentral